CUACGGGAUGCUGCAGUGGGGAAUAUUGGACAAUGGGGGAAACCCUGAUCCAGCAAUGCCGCGUGUGUGAAGAAGGCCUGCGGGUUGUAAAGCACUUUCGGUUGGGAGGACUGCUUCUAGCACUAAUAUUGUUGGAAGUUGACGUUACCUUCAGAAGAAGCACCGGCUAACUCCGUGCCAGCAGCCGCGGUAAUACGGAGGGUGCAAGCGUUCAUCGGAAUUACUGGGCGUAAAGCGCGCGUAGGCGGCUAGAUCAGUCGGGUGUGAAAGCCCCGGGCUUAACCUGGGAACUGCAUCCGAUACUGUCUAGCUUGAGUACAGGAGAGGAGAGUGGAAUUCCACAUGUAGCGGUGAAAUGCGUAGAUAUGUGGAGGAACACCAAUGGCGAAGGCAGCUCUCUGGCCUGAUACUGACGCUGAGGUGCGAUAGCGUGGGGAGCAAACAGGAUUAGAUACCCCUGUAGUC
This 465-nucleotide ribosomal RNA is filed under the name uncultured bacterium. RNAcentral describes it as "partial 16S ribosomal RNA". It matches the Rfam family "Bacterial small subunit ribosomal RNA", at positions 339 to 795 of the family's 1533-position model. The record is from RNAcentral.